This 459-nucleotide ribosomal RNA is filed under the name uncultured bacterium. RNAcentral describes it as "partial 16S ribosomal RNA". It matches the Rfam family "Bacterial small subunit ribosomal RNA", at positions 338 to 795 of the family's 1533-position model. The record is from RNAcentral.
CCUACGGGGGGCUGCAGUGAGGAAUAUUGGUCAAUGGGCGCGAGCCUGAACCAGCCAAGUCGCGUGAGGGAAGACGGUCCUAUGGAUUGUAAACCUCUUUUGUCGGGGAGCAAAAGACGCCACGCGUGGCGUUCCGAGAGUACCCGAAGAAAAAGCAUCGGCAAACUCCGUGCCAGCAGCCGCGGUAAUACGGGGGAUGCGAGCGUUAUCCGGAUUUAUUGGGUUUAAAGGGUGCGCAGGCGGAAGAUCAAGUCAGCGGUAAAAUUUUGAGGCUCAACCUCUUCGAGCCGUUGAAACUGGUAUUCUUGAGUGAGUGUGAGGUAUGCGGAAUGCGUGGUGUAGCGGUGAAAUGCAUAGAUAUCACGCAGAACUCCGAUUGCGAAGGCAGCAUACCGGCGCUCAACUGACGCUCAUGCACGAAAGUGUGGGUAUCGAACAGGAUUAGAUACCCGGGUAGUC